UGGGUCAGGUAUAGUUUUUUUGUACAAAGCAAGCUUACAAGAUGUUCAAAUACUUUGCUUUAUUUGCACUCCUCUUCUUGUUGGCCGCCGCCGCACCUGAGCCUGAAGCCAAACCAGUGUACCCAUAUUCUCAUCAUUAUACCCAUCAUGGAGUUCACCCAUACGCCUAUGGUCAUCAUCACUACGUUCAUCCGUACCACGCUGGGGUCUAUGGACACCACUAUGGCCAUUUGGGACACUACUAUUAAUUUCUACGUUGUAAUCUGAACACAUGUUGUAUGCAAAAAAUUUAUUAAAGCUCAUUAAAGUCAAUAUUACAACAGA
Molecule: long non-coding RNA, 324 nt
Organism: Photinus pyralis (common eastern firefly)
Lineage: Eukaryota; Metazoa; Arthropoda; Insecta; Coleoptera; Lampyridae
Exons: 2
Source: RefSeq, a predicted model, not a curated record